RNAcentral lists this ribosomal RNA (756 nucleotides) under Ramajendas frigidus. RNAcentral's name for it is "partial large subunit ribosomal RNA". It matches the Rfam family "Eukaryotic large subunit ribosomal RNA", at positions 39 to 540 of the family's 3401-position model. The record is from RNAcentral. Lineage: Eukaryota; Metazoa; Tardigrada; Eutardigrada; Parachela; Ramazzottiidae.
CAUAUACUAAGCGGAGGAAAGAACCAACGGGGAUUCCCAUAGUAACUGCGAGUGAAUGGGAAGAGCCCAGCGCUGAAUCCGAAUGCUGGCAACGGUGUUUGGAACUGUAGCGUGAAGGUGGUCUUAAUCCGUGCGGCUGGCUAGCGUAAGUUCUCCUGAGUGAGGCUCCAUGCUAGGAAGGGUGCAAGCCCCGUAUCGCCGGCAGCCUGUGCGGAUGUUGAAGAUCUACCAGAGAGUCGCCUUGUUUGCGAGUACAAGGUGAAGUCGGUGGUAAACGCCAUCGAAGGCUAAAUAUGACCACGAGUCCGAUAGCGAACAAGUACAGUGAUGGAAAAUUGAAAAGAACUUUGAAGAGAGAGUGAAACAGUGCGUGAAACCGCUCAGAGGCAAGCAGAUGGGGCCUCGAAGGCAGAGCGAGGAAUUCAGUUGGUAGUCCGUCAGCGGUGGUUGGGAUGUGAGAUUGCAAAACUCUGCCUGGCCAUGCGCAGCGGCUGCUAAUGCACUUUCCUCGCUUGUACGCCCCCGCCGUUGACGCUUAGCAUCCGCCUGGCUUGCACCGUGGAGCACUUCUCUUUCGGGAGUCGUUGUCUCACAGCGAGUUUUGGCGCGUUUGUUCGUCAACCGGUCAGGUCAGCAUGUACCAGCGUAAGCGUUGGGCUCAGCGCUCUGCUGCGGCGUAGUGGAUGACGGAUGCAAAUCCGGCUCUGCUGCACGCGGUAGAAUCGCGAAGGUUUUCAACGUGGUACAUUGUAGAUC